AUUCUUGUAGUUUAAUAAGAACGGAAAACUUUCUAUUUUCUGGUUUCUCGUGGAGAGAAUAAGGAUA
This 67-nucleotide transfer RNA is filed under the name Ophiarachnella gorgonia. Its description in RNAcentral is "tRNA-Glu". Lineage: Eukaryota; Metazoa; Echinodermata; Ophiuroidea; Amphilepidida; Ophiodermatidae. The record is from RNAcentral.